This 179-nucleotide long non-coding RNA is filed under the name Chinchilla lanigera (long-tailed chinchilla). Its description in RNAcentral is "lncRNA (ENSCLAG00000026822.1)". Lineage: Eukaryota; Metazoa; Chordata; Mammalia; Rodentia; Chinchillidae. The record is from RNAcentral.
CACCAUCAGUGACACUCAAGAAAGGUGUUGUCAACUGGCUCCACAAUUCUUGCCCCAGUUCCACUUUUGAGUUCCCAGGCCUUUUGUGAUUCCUCUGGGGAAAAUUACUGGAAGAACUUCCUAACAUAGUCCAUGGAGAAGGUCCUGGGGCUGGAGCGGCUGAGAAAGGGCUUACUCAG